Molecule: long non-coding RNA, 1176 nt
Filed under: Malus domestica (apple)
Lineage: Eukaryota; Viridiplantae; Streptophyta; Magnoliopsida; Rosales; Rosaceae
Description: long non-coding RNA (MDOM_LNC013286)
Source: RNAcentral
AAAUGAAAUGGAUAAGCAAUUAAAUGGUUUAAUUGAAAUAUGGUCAAGGUUAAUUAAUUAGUUAAUUAAUUAUACGAAAGGUUCGUAUUGGGCUUUUAAGUUAGUUUUGGGCUUCAAGGUCCGAAAAGAUUUGGUACUAGGCCCAUUAUGUUUAAGUUGUAUGACAACUAAAACAAAUAUGGGUAAAUAACCCAAUCACUUAAAAGAUGUCGGCCAUAGUGAGGGAGUGGUAAGUUUUGCUUAAUUGCAAGUUUGCCACUCACCUAAGAAAAGAGAUAUAAAAGCAUCUUUAUAGCUUUUACCUCAGUAGGGUUUUCUUGAGGCAAAGAUGAGAAACAUUUUCUCUCUUUUUUCUCUAAAGGAGACCGGCCACUUAGAGAAGAUAUAGCUAGCAAUCUUUUCUUCUCUAAGUCAUCCAUUUCAUCUUCACACCUCAUCCUUGGUGUGGAGACUUAGAGACACCAAAUCUUUGGCCUUUUUGGAGAUCCUUUCCUCACAUCCUCAAGAAGCAAAGGAGCAUCAAAAGGAAGAAAAUCACAAGGAAGAUCCAAGGAGCUAGUUGGUGACUUGAAGGCCCUCCACUUGGGUGAAUCCCUUGUGUAAACAAGGAUGAGCUUCAAGGGUAAUGAAUCUCUAAAACCUUCUUUCUCUUUAAUGUUGUUAAAGAGUCUUGUGGUUCACCAUUCACUAGGCUUUGAUAGUAUUGGGUUUUAGAAUUGUUUUUGAAUGCAUGCCUACUUUAAUGUGUUAAUAGUUUGCAUAUGUGUUCAAAUAUUCUCACAUGUUCUUAGCUAGGAAAAUUUUUUUCCUUCAGCAUGAUUCCGCCUUUAAUUGUUAAUUGAAUGCGAUAGAUGUUGCUCAGAUGAACAUGUUUUUCACAAAAUUUCCUUCAAGUAGAAGAGGCAGCUUUAGUUGGCAGAAUAGGAAAAAUCUCAGGAAUCGAAGCAGGAAUGGAAGCAGCAGUAGCUUCAACCUUCUUUUUAGGUCAAGGAAUGGGGGUCUCAGUCACUCCAGAGGAUAAAAAAAGGCCUUGGAAGAUCUGUUUUGCCCACCAAGGGAGGAAGAGAUUGGCCCAAGCCUUUUCCAGGUCCCUAUUACAAACCAAGAAGAGUUCGUUGAGAGGUAAGUCUUUAGUUUAGAUUGAAACAAAGUUGGAGAAGGAAGUUGGUAUACCUG